Oncorhynchus tshawytscha (Chinook salmon) is the source of this 747-nucleotide long non-coding RNA. NCBI's taxonomy places the organism in Eukaryota, Metazoa, Chordata, Actinopteri, Salmoniformes, Salmonidae. The record is from Ensembl.
UAAUAAGUCACUUUGGUUAAAAGUGUUUCUAAAUGGCAUAUCUUAUGAUAUAAUAAUAUCACUUAGUUGGACUAUACAGGUCCAGAUAUACAGGGUUUAUGUCAAACUUGUGUUCAGGUCCUCUUGGUUCUGGGUUUGUUGUGUUCAGGUCCUCUUGGUUCUGGGUUUGUUGAGUUCAGGUCCUCUUGGUUCUGGGUUUGUUGUGUUCAGGUCCUCUUGGUUCUGGGUUUGGUGUGUUCAGGUCUUCUUGGUUCUGGGUUUGUUGUGUUCAGGUCCUCUUGGUUCUGGGUUUGUUGAGUUCAGGUCCUCUUGGUUCUGGGUUUGUUGUGUUCAGGUCCUCUUGGUUCUGGGUUUGUUGUGUUCAGGUACUCUUGGUUCUGGGUUUGGUGAGUUCAGGUCCUCUUGGUUCAGGGUUUGUUGUGUUCAGGUUCUCUUGGUUCUGGGUUUGUUGCGCUCAGGUCUUCUUGGUUCAGGGUUUGUUGUGUUCAGGUUCUCUUGGUUCUGGGUUUGUUGCGUUCAGGUCUUCUUGGUUCAGGGUUUGUUGUGUUCAGGUUCUCUUGGUUCUGGGUUUGUUGCGUUCAGGUCUUCUUGGUUCUGGGUUUGUUGCGUUCAGGUCUUUUUGGUUCUGGGUUUGUUGCGUUCAGGUCCUCUUGGUUCUGGGUUUGUUGUGUUCAGGUCUUCUGGGUUUGUUGACUCUACUAUAGAUCUCAGAAGAGUCCUCCUCAGCUGCUUGUGCUGCCGUGGGUC